AUUGAACGCUGGCGGCAGGCCUAACACAUGCAAGUCGAGCGGAAACGAUGGAAGCUUGCUUCCAGGCGUCGAGCGGCGGACGGGUGAGUAAUGCAUGGGAAUCUGCCCGAUAGUGGGGGAUAACCUGGGGAAACCCAGGCUAAUACCGCAUACGUCCUACGGGAGAAAGCAGGGGAUCUUCGGACCUUGCGCUAUCGGAUGAGCCCAUGUCGGAUUAGCUUGUUGGUGAGGUAAUGGCUCACCAAGGCGACGAUCCGUAGCUGGUCUGAGAGGAUGAUCAGCCACAUCGGGACUGAGACACGGCCCGAACUCCUACGGGAGGCAGCAGUGGGGAAUAUUGGACAAUGGGCGAAAGCCUGAUCCAGCCAUGCCGCGUGUGUGGAGAAGGCCCUCGGGUUGUAAAGCACUUUCAGUGGGGAAGAAAGCCUUGGGAUUAAUACUCCCGAGGAAGGACAUCACCCACAGAAGAAGCACCGGCUAACUCCGUGCCAGCAGCCGCGGUAAUACGGAGGGUGCGAGCGUUAAUCGGAAUUACUGGGCGUAAAGCGCGCGUAGGCGGUCUGAUAAGCCGGUUGUGAAAGCCCCGGGCUCAACCUGGGAACGGCAUCCGGAACUGUCAGGCUAGAGUGCAGGAGAGGAAGGUAGAAUUCCCGGUGUAGCGGUGAAAUGCGUAGAGAUCGGGAGGAAUACCAGUGGCGAAGGCGGCCUUCUGGACUGACACUGACGCUGAGGUGCGAAAGCGUGGGUAGCAAACA
RNAcentral lists this ribosomal RNA (755 nucleotides) under uncultured Halomonas sp. RNAcentral describes it as "bacterial SSU rRNA". It matches the Rfam family "Bacterial small subunit ribosomal RNA", at positions 28 to 774 of the family's 1533-position model. Lineage: Bacteria; Pseudomonadati; Pseudomonadota; Gammaproteobacteria; Oceanospirillales; Halomonadaceae. The record is from RNAcentral.